This 439-nucleotide ribosomal RNA is filed under the name uncultured bacterium. RNAcentral's name for it is "partial 16S ribosomal RNA". It matches the Rfam family "Bacterial small subunit ribosomal RNA", at positions 339 to 795 of the family's 1533-position model. The record is from RNAcentral.
CUACGGGUGGCAGCAGUGGGGAAUAUUGCACAAUGGGGGAAACCCUGAUGCAGCAACGCCGCGUGGAGGAUGACACAUUUCGGUGCGUAAACUCCUUUUAUAUAAGAAGAUAAUGACGGUAUUAUAUGAAUAAGCUCCGGCUAACUCCGUGCCAGCAGCCGCGGUAAUACGGGGGGAGCAAGCGUUACUCGGAAUCACUGGGCGUAAAGAGCAUGUAGGCGGGUAAAAAAGUUGGAAGUGAAAUCCACUGGCUUAACCAGUGAACUGCUUCCAAAACUCUUUACCUAGAAUAUGGGAGAGGUAGAUGGAAUUUCUGGUGUAGGGGUAAAAUACGUAGAGAUCAGAAGGAAUACCGAUUGCGAAGGCGAUCUACUGGAACAUUAUUGACGCUGAGAUGCGAAAGCGUGGGGAGCAAACAGGAUUAGAUACCCUGGUAGUC